Micropterus salmoides (largemouth bass) is the source of this 235-nucleotide long non-coding RNA. RefSeq lists it as uncharacterized. The record is from RefSeq and is a predicted model, not a curated record. The transcript has 3 exons. Lineage: Eukaryota; Metazoa; Chordata; Actinopteri; Centrarchiformes; Centrarchidae.
ACUUUUUACAUCGAUGAUGCUAAACUGUUAUUGAGUGUUGUUAAAGGAAAGGUGAUGUAACACAGCGGUAAACAUGUCCCUGUCCCAGCUUUUUUGGAAUGUGUUGCAGGCAUCAAAUUCAAAGUGGUUGACCCAGAAGGGAGUUUGUCAGAGGAGACGAAGAACGAGACCACAGAGGAUGUCAGAAUUGAGGACAAUAAAGCACCAGGAUCUUAAAUCUGUUUUUAUUUGCUGU